CACGUGAGAACCUGGGGACGCUAGGUUCCGGAACCUGACCUGAGCUGGGGCCUGUGCUUCCAGCGGGUGGUGGGGGGCCUGGUGUGCUGGCAUCAAGUAAGCCGACUACCUCGGCAAAGGCUUAGGGACAAGAGACCAGCAGCCUGAACUGGCUGGGGCAUCCGGAAGGCUUAGAUCUUGUGGCCAAGAGUUCAGACCGUGGCGAAGUGGAGAGUGACAUGCAGUUGGAUGGCGGUGACUGCGUGGUAUGGAAGAAAAUUCAGCUGAAAUUUGCUAGAAAAUGAGUUGUUUUGGAAAGAGACUGUAGAGAAAGGCAAAUGGAAGAAGAAAGCUUCUGUGCCCCCACAGAUACCGACUGAAAAGUGUUAGCAUGAGCAAAAGUUCCUAUCUAAUAUUAUAUGCUUUCCUUUGCUCCCAGGUCCUGCAACCCUGGUUCCAGUCUGGCAAGCAUUGUAGACCUGGCUGCUGAAGACUGACGGGGCCCAGGGUCCGCUGCCCCCACCGCCAUCACCACCUCGGAACCCAGGGUAACGCUGUCAGUCUUUGAGCCUACGAGGAAACCAUUCGGAAGCUCCAGAACCCAGGCCCUAAUCACAACGCCCCUAUCCAGCAGGAAGCAGCCAGAUGAUCAACGACGCCCUUUUUCCUUUUUAUACUAAAGUAAGAAAUAAGAAUGUUAGCCCAAACUGCACUAUUUUGCAGACCCCUACCAUUUUACAAACUGGUCAGAGUGGAAAAUUCCACCAGGGCCUGAGCUGUGAGAAACAUCCUGUCAGGCAGGUCCCAGGCCUAACCCCUGGCUGCACUAAAUUCCUUCAUUAUCAGCAGCCAAACACACCGCCCCCACCCCAUUUUCACAACAAUCCCAGACCUCUCCUGCCCGGGACUGUAACUGGUCCAGCCUGUAAGCGGGAAGGGGGCUCUGGCACUAGCUGGUACCCCCUCUCCGCAGGUCUUUCUCCCAAUAAAUCUGUGUUGCCAUUGA
RNAcentral lists this long non-coding RNA (985 nucleotides) under Homo sapiens (human). RNAcentral's name for it is "PREDICTED lncRNA (TCONS_00274969)". The record is from RNAcentral. Lineage: Eukaryota; Metazoa; Chordata; Mammalia; Primates; Hominidae.